AUUGAACGCUGGCGGCAUGCCUUACACAUGCAAGUCGAACGGCAGCACGGGAGCUUGCUCCUGGUGGCGAGUGGCGAACGGGUGAGUAAUACAUCGGAACGUACCCUGAAGUGGGGGAUAACGUAGCGAAAGUUACGCUAAUACCGCAUAUUCUGUGAGCAGGAAAGAGGGGGAUCGCAAGACCUCUUGCUUUAGGAGCGGCCGAUGUCGGAUUAGCUAGUUGGUGAGGUAAAGGCUCACCAAGGCGACGAUCCGUAGCGGGUCUGAGAGGAUGAUCCGCCACACUGGGACUGAGACACGGCCCAGACUCCUACGGGAGGCAGCAGUGGGGAAUUUUGGACAAUGGCGCAAGCCUGAUCCAGCCAUGCCGCGUGAGUGAA
This 380-nucleotide ribosomal RNA is filed under the name uncultured bacterium. Its description in RNAcentral is "bacterial SSU rRNA". It matches the Rfam family "Bacterial small subunit ribosomal RNA", at positions 30 to 409 of the family's 1533-position model. The record is from RNAcentral.